This 494-nucleotide ribosomal RNA is filed under the name uncultured bacterium. Its description in RNAcentral is "partial 16S ribosomal RNA". It matches the Rfam family "Bacterial small subunit ribosomal RNA", at positions 899 to 1397 of the family's 1533-position model. The record is from RNAcentral.
ACUCAAAUGAAUUGACGGGGACCCGCACAAGCGGUGGAUGAUGUGGAUUAAUUCGAUGCAACGCGAAAAACCUUACCUACCCUUGACAUGGUCGGAACCCAGGAGAGAUUCUGGGGUGCCCGAAAGGGAGCCGAUACACAGGUGCUGCAUGGCUGUCGUCAGCUCGUGUCGUGAGAUGUUGGGUUAAGUCCCGCAACGAGCGCAACCCUUGUCAUUAGUUGCUACGAAAGGGCACUCUAAUGAGACUGCCGGUGACAAACCGGAGGAAGGUGGGGAUGACGUCAAGUCCUCAUGGCCCUUAUGGGUAGGGCUUCACACGUCAUACAAUGGUGCAUACAGAGGGCUGCCAACCCGCGAGGGGGAGCUAAUCCCAGAAAGUGCAUCGUAGUCCGGAUUGCAGUCUGCAACUCGACUGCAUGAAGUUGGAAUCGCUAGUAAUCGCGGAUCAGCAUGUCGCGGUGAAUACGUUCCCGGGUCUUGUACACACCGCCCGU